This 440-nucleotide ribosomal RNA is filed under the name uncultured bacterium. RNAcentral describes it as "partial 16S ribosomal RNA". It matches the Rfam family "Bacterial small subunit ribosomal RNA", at positions 338 to 795 of the family's 1533-position model. The record is from RNAcentral.
CCUACGGGAGGCAGCAGUGGGGAAUAUUGCACAAUGGGGGAAACCCUGAUGCAGCGACGCCGCGUGAGUGAAGACGUAAUUCUGUAUGGAAAGCUCUAUCAGCAGGGAAGAAAAUGACGGUACCUAAGUAAUAAGCCCCGGCUAACUACGUGCCAGCAGCCGCGGUACUACGUAGGGGGCAAGCGUUAUCCGGAGUUACUGGGUGUAAAGGGAGCGUAGACGGCAGUGCAAGUCUGGAGUGAAAGGCGGGGGCUCAACCCCCGGACUGCUGUGGAAACUGUACGGCUGGAGUGCAGGAGAGGUGAGUGGAAUUCGUGGUGUAGCGGUGAAAUGCGUAGAUAUUACGAGGAACACCAGUGGCGAAGGCGGCUUACUGGACUGUAACUGACGUUGAGGCUCGAAAGCGUGGGGAGCAAACAGGAUUAGAUACCCUAGUAGUC